UCCAAUAAGCGGAGGAAAAGAAACUAGCAAGGAUUCCCCUAGUAACGGCGAGUGAAGAGGGAAGAGCCCAAGAUUGAAAGCUGGCGUCUUUGGCGUCCGCAUUGUAAUCUCAAGAAGUGUUUUCCGCUUCGGACCAUGCCUAAGUCCCUUGGAAAAGGGCAUCAUAGAGGGUGAUAAUCCCGUACAUGGCAUGGAGCGCCCGAAGCUUUGUGAUACACUUUCUAAGAGUCGAGUUGUUUGGGAAUGCAGCUCAAAAUGGGUGGUAAAUGCCAUCUAAGGCUAAAUAUUGGGGAGAGACCGAUAGCGAACAAGUACAGUGAUGGAAAGAUGAAAAGAACUUUGAAAAGAGAGUUAAACAGUACGUGAAAUUGCCAAAAGGGAAGGGUAGGAGGUCAGAGAUGCGGUCUGGGAUUCAGCCUUGCUUUUGCUGGGUGUUUUUCUCAGAUUGCAGGCCAACGUCGGUUUUGGGCGCUGGAGAAGGGUGGAAGGAAUGUGGCACCUCUCGGGGUGUGUUAUAGCCUUCUACUGGAUACAGUGACCGAGACCGAGGACAGCAGCGUACUCGCAAGAGCGGGCCUUCGGGCACCUUUACGCUUAGGGCGUUGGCAUAAUGGCCCUCUACCACCCGUCUUGAAACACGGACCAAGGAGUCU
Molecule: ribosomal RNA, 653 nt
Filed under: Ustilago bromivora
Lineage: Eukaryota; Fungi; Basidiomycota; Ustilaginomycetes; Ustilaginales; Ustilaginaceae
Description: LSU rRNA
Rfam family: Eukaryotic large subunit ribosomal RNA
Source: RNAcentral